Long non-coding RNA from Chelonoidis abingdonii (Abingdon island giant tortoise), 556 nucleotides. RefSeq lists it as uncharacterized. The record is from RefSeq and is a predicted model, not a curated record. Lineage: Eukaryota; Metazoa; Chordata; Testudines; Testudinidae.
UGUGACCCAAGGGCAAGAGAGUAACAGCUUUGUCCUCCGGAGCACAAACCGGACUUGCAGCCAUUUUAACUGCGCGUACCUGGACCGAGAGAAGAACCAAAUAUGUGUUUACAACUCUGCUACCACAGGCAGCCUGGCCUUCCCCGGUGAGCUGAGCCCUCCACUAUUUGGAGGAUCCAUCAUCUUGGUCCAUGCUGCUGCUCUGAAGCUGUUUGCUGGUUUCUAAAUUGUCCUAUUCGUGUUACUCACUCUUUCUCUCUAACACAAAUCAGUCUGAUGGGACUUGCCAGAUCCAAAGUUGUCCUGCUAUUCUGCUCGCAUUCCAAAGGGAACCAGGAACAUGGAGGGAGUGUCGCUGGUACCUGCUUGGGCAAGCUUUGAUUAUACGUUACCAAUGAGUAAAUCAAAACUUGAAGCUCAUAGCUCUAUUCCAGGUGUGAUUUGUCUUACAAUGGUAGAGCUUUAAAUUGGUGCAUGUUAGGUAAAUAAUUACUUGUAUUCCUGUCAUGCUAGCACUUUCAUAUCAACUUUUGAUAACUUCAGUAAAAGACUUUUA